GGGUGCAUGGCCUAAUGGUAAGGCGUCAGAUUUCGGUUCUUAUCUAUGACCAACUCUGAAGAUUGCAGGUUCGAUCCCUGCUGUGCUCG
Molecule: non-coding RNA, 89 nt
Organism: Annulohypoxylon truncatum
Lineage: Eukaryota; Fungi; Ascomycota; Sordariomycetes; Xylariales; Hypoxylaceae
Source: the annotation of a RefSeq genome assembly